ACAGUUUAAAAUGUUGGAUCUAAUAAUUUUCCUUCUUUUGCUGCAGUACAUUGAUUGUGCUAAUAUAACAGUACAGCCAGUGUCUAUUAAUACAACACUCAACUCUACUGUUGUCUUCUCUUGUGAAGGAA
This is a long non-coding RNA of Amphimedon queenslandica, 131 nucleotides long. RefSeq lists it as uncharacterized. The transcript is spliced from 2 exons. The record is from RefSeq and is a predicted model, not a curated record. Lineage: Eukaryota; Metazoa; Porifera; Demospongiae; Haplosclerida; Niphatidae.